This 498-nucleotide ribosomal RNA is filed under the name uncultured bacterium. RNAcentral's name for it is "partial 16S ribosomal RNA". It matches the Rfam family "Bacterial small subunit ribosomal RNA", at positions 30 to 523 of the family's 1533-position model. The record is from RNAcentral.
AUUGAACGCUGGCGGCAUGCCUUACACAUGCAAGUCGAACGGUAACAGGUCUUCGGAUGCUGACGAGUGGCGAACGGGUGAGUAAUACAUCGGAACGUGCCUAGUAGUGGGGGAUAACUACUCGAAAGAGUGGCUAAUACCGCAUGAGAUCUACGGAUGAAAGCAGGGGAUCGCAAGACCUUGUGCUACUAGAGCGGCCGAUGGCAGAUUAGGUAGUUGGUGGGAUAAAAGCUUACCAAGCCGACGAUCUGUAGCUGGUCUGAGAGGACGAUCAGCCACACUGGAACGGAGACACGGCCCAGACUCCGACGGGAGGCAUCAGUGGGGAAUUUUGGACAAUGGGCGAAAGCCUGAUCCAGCAAUGCCGCGUGCAGGAUGAAGGCCUUCGGGUUGUAAACGGCUUUUGUACGGAACGAAAAGCCCCGGGUUAAUACCCUGGGGUCAUGACGGUACCGUAAGAAUAAGCACCGGCUAACUACGUGCCAGCCGCCGCCGUAA